AACCAUUCUCACCUGCGGCUAGACCUGCGGAGGGAUCAUUACCGAGUGUGAACCCCCCCGUAAAAAAGAGGGGUUACCUCCCGUCCUUUGCUGGGAACCCCUUUCCAACUUGGAAGGAGGUUGUUUUCAGACCCUUCUGCUUCGGUGGGGUAACCCACCGGAACAACCUCAAAAAUAUUCUCAAUUCAAAACCGUUCAGUCCGAGAACUUUUUUGAAAAGCGAAAAAACUUUUAACAACG
This 240-nucleotide unclassified non-coding RNA is filed under the name soil metagenome. Its description in RNAcentral is "partial contains 5.8S ribosomal RNA, internal transcribed spacer 2, and large subunit ribosomal RNA". The record is from RNAcentral.